UUGGAGGGUUAAGAAAGUGGAUCAUGUAAAGAUAUCAUCUCUGCUGAUAUUGCCCUCCUAGAACAAAUAGUAGUAGAUCAAGUCGGAGAAUUUCAAGUUUAAUUUCUGACUUACUACAUCUGCUGACAUUU
Molecule: non-coding RNA, 131 nt
Organism: Paramuricea clavata
Lineage: Eukaryota; Metazoa; Cnidaria; Anthozoa; Malacalcyonacea; Plexauridae
Source: the annotation of a GenBank genome assembly